AUACGUAGGGGGCAAGCGUUAUCCGGAUUUACUGGGUGUAAGGGAGCGUAGACGGUAAAGCAAGUCUGAAGUGAAAGCUCGGGGCUCAACCCCGGAACUGCUUUGGAAACUGUUUUACUGGAGUGCAGGAGAGGUAAGCGGAAUUCCUAGUGUAGCGGUGAAAUGCGUAGAUAUUAGGAGGAACACCAGAGGCGAAGGCGGCUUACUGGACUGUAACUGACGUUGAGGCUUGAAGGCGUGGGGAGCAAACAGGAUUAGAUACCCUGGUAGUCCACGCGGUAAACGAUGAUCACUAGGUGUCGGCGGCCAUAGGCGGUCGGUGCCGCAGCAAACGCAAUAAGUGAUCCACCUGGGGAGUACGUUCGCAAGAAUGAAACUCAAAUGAAUUGACGGGG
This 395-nucleotide ribosomal RNA is filed under the name uncultured bacterium. RNAcentral describes it as "partial 16S ribosomal RNA". It matches the Rfam family "Bacterial small subunit ribosomal RNA", at positions 523 to 918 of the family's 1533-position model. The record is from RNAcentral.